RNAcentral lists this ribosomal RNA (166 nucleotides) under Macrolobium taxifolium. RNAcentral describes it as "5.8S ribosomal RNA". It matches the Rfam family "5.8S ribosomal RNA". Rfam says of the family: 5.8S ribosomal RNA (5.8S rRNA) is a component of the large subunit of the eukaryotic ribosome. It is transcribed by RNA polymerase I as part of the 45S precursor that also contains 18S and 28S rRNA. The record is from RNAcentral. Lineage: Eukaryota; Viridiplantae; Streptophyta; Magnoliopsida; Fabales; Fabaceae.
AAUGACYCUCGGCAACGGAUAUYUCGGCUCUYGCAUCGAUGAAGAACGCAGCGAAAUGCGAUACUUGGUGUGAAUUGCAGAAUCCCGUGAACCAUCGAGUCUUUGAACGCAAGUUGCGCCCGAAGCCAUUAGGCCGAGGGCACGUCUGGCUGGGUGUCACACAACG